AACCAUAACCAACUAAACCCAAA
Molecule: small nuclear RNA, 23 nt
Filed under: Arabidopsis thaliana (thale cress)
Lineage: Eukaryota; Viridiplantae; Streptophyta; Magnoliopsida; Brassicales; Brassicaceae
Description: snRNA_10103
Source: RNAcentral